This 73-nucleotide transfer RNA is filed under the name Buchnera aphidicola (Sipha maydis). RNAcentral describes it as "transfer RNA Glycine". It matches the Rfam family "tRNA". From Rfam's summary of the family: Transfer RNA (tRNA) molecules are approximately 80 nucleotides in length. Their secondary structure includes four short double-helical elements and three loops (D, anti-codon, and T loops). Further hydrogen bonds mediate the characteristic L-shaped molecular structure. tRNAs have two regions of fundamental functional importance: the anti-codon, which is responsible for specific mRNA codon recognition, and the 3' end, to which the tRNAs corresponding amino acid is attached (by aminoacyl-tRNA synthetases). tRNAs cope with the degeneracy of the genetic code in two manners: having more than one tRNA (with a specific anti-codon) for a particular amino acid; and 'wobble' base-pairing, i.e. permitting non-standard base-pairing at the 3rd anti-codon position. The record is from RNAcentral. Lineage: Bacteria; Pseudomonadati; Pseudomonadota; Gammaproteobacteria; Enterobacterales; Erwiniaceae.
GCGGGAAUAGCUCAGUUGGUAGAGCGUAACCUUGCCAAGGUUAAGGUCACGAGUUCGAAACUCGUUUCUCGCU